AUAGCGUAUAUUUAAGUUGUUGCAGUUAAAAAGCUCGUAGUUGGAUCUUGGGUCGGGGGGAGCGGUCCGCCCCUUCGUGGGUGUGCACUGGUCCCACCCGACCUUGUUUCUGCCGGGGACGCGCUCCUGGCCUUCGCUGGUCGGGACGCGGAGUCGGCGACGUUACUUUGAAAAAAUUAGAGUGCUCAAAGCAAGCCUAUGCUCUGAAUACAUUAGCAUGGAAUAACGCGAUAGGACUCUGGUCCUUUUGUGUUGGUCUUCGGGACCGGAGUAAUGAUUAAUAGGGACAGUUGGGGGCAUUCGUAUUUCAUUGUCAGAGGUGAAAUUCUUGGAUUUAUGAAAGACGAACUUCUG
Molecule: ribosomal RNA, 354 nt
Filed under: uncultured eukaryote
Lineage: Eukaryota
Description: SSU rRNA
Rfam family: Eukaryotic small subunit ribosomal RNA
Source: RNAcentral